Molecule: ribosomal RNA, 155 nt
Filed under: Dioszegia hungarica
Lineage: Eukaryota; Fungi; Basidiomycota; Tremellomycetes; Tremellales; Bulleribasidiaceae
Description: 5.8S ribosomal RNA
Rfam family: 5.8S ribosomal RNA
About the family: 5.8S ribosomal RNA (5.8S rRNA) is a component of the large subunit of the eukaryotic ribosome. It is transcribed by RNA polymerase I as part of the 45S precursor that also contains 18S and 28S rRNA.
Source: RNAcentral
AACUUUCAACAACGGAUCUCUUGGCUCUCGCAUCGAUGAAAAACGCAGCGAAAUGCGAUAAGUAAUGUGAAUUGCAAAAUUCAGUGAAUCAUCGAAUCUUUGAACGCAACUUGCGCCCUUUGGUAUUCCGAAGGGCAUGCCUGUUUGAGUGUCAU